Molecule: ribosomal RNA, 495 nt
Filed under: uncultured bacterium
Lineage: Bacteria
Description: partial 16S ribosomal RNA
Rfam family: Bacterial small subunit ribosomal RNA
Source: RNAcentral
GAUGAACGCUGGCGGCGUGCCUAAUACAUGCAAGUCGAGCGAACAGACGAGGAGCUUGCUCCUCUGACGUUAGCGGCGGACGGGUGAGUAACACGUGGAUAACCUACCUAUAAGACUGGGAUAACUUCGGGAAACCGGAGCUAAUACCGGAUAAUAUAUUGAACCGCAGGGUUCAAUAGUGAAAGACGGCUUUGCUGUCACUUAUAGAUGGCUCCGCGCCGCAUUAGCUAGUUGGUAAGGUAACGGCUUACCAAGGCAACGAUGCGUAGCCGACCUGAGAGGGGUAUCGGCCACUCUGGCACUGACACCCGGCCCAGGCCUCUGCGAGGGGCAACAGUAGGAAAUCUGCCGCAAGGGGCGAACGUCUGACGGAGCAACGCCGCGUGAGAGAGAAAGGUCUUGGGAUCGAAAACCUCUUUUAGGGGGUAAAAAGAAAUGGGUAAGUAACUAGGCGCGUUUACGGGGUCCCUAAUAAAAGAGCCGGGGAAAUCUGCG